This 3266-nucleotide long non-coding RNA is filed under the name Mus musculus (house mouse). Its description in RNAcentral is "long non-coding RNA chr2:54525236-54528502". The record is from RNAcentral. Lineage: Eukaryota; Metazoa; Chordata; Mammalia; Rodentia; Muridae.
UCUGAUUUAAACUAUGUUCUCAUGGUCGUAGAAUUUGUGUGAUCAUUUCUUUAUAAUUUAAAGAAAUGAAUGAAUUAUUUCAUAGAAAGAGGCUUUGAAUUUGUUGUUACUCAGCCUGGCUUUAUUUUUUUGAUAUUUUUAUUAGAUAUUUUCUUUAUUUGCAUUUCCUAUGUUAUACCUUUUCCUCCUUUCCCCUCUGAAAACCCCCCUAUCCCAUCCCCCACCCCCCUGCUCACUAACUCACCCACUCCUGCUUCUCUGUCCUGGCAUUCCCCUGCACUGGGAAGAUCAGGGGCUUCUCCUCUCAUUGAUGUCCUACAAGGCCAUUCUCUGCUACAUAUGCAGCUGGAGCCUUGAGUCCCUCCAUGUGUACUCUUUGGUUGAUGGUUUAGUCUGUGGGUCCUCUGGGGGUUGGUUCAUAUUGUUUUUCCUCCUGAGGGGCUGCAAACCCCUUCAGCUCCUUGGGUUCUUUCUCUAACUCCUCCAUUGGGAACCACAUGCUUACUCCAGUGGUUGGCUGAGAGUAUUUGUCAGGCACUGGCCGAGCCUCUCAGGAGAUAGCUAUAUCUGGCUCCUGUUAGUAAGUACGUGUUGGCAUCAAUGAUAGCGUCUGGGUUUGGUAACUAUAUAUGGGAUGGAUCCCCAGGUGGGGCAGUCUCUAGAUGGCCUUUCAUUCACUCUCUAUUCCACAUUUUGUCUCUGUAUCUACUCCUAUAGGUAUUUUGUUCUUAAAGCUGUCUUUUAUUGCUCUUUAUAAUUUGAUUUGUCAUUCAAAUGUACAGCCCAGAAUCUUUCUCUCUCUUAUAAUCAGUCUUGUGUUUCAGCAUUAAUACUGUUUUCUUGCUACAGAGGCAUAGAAAAUAUUGCAUCUAUGUGUGGUAAUUUUGGUAAUAUUAAAGGAGCUCUUAAUGGAAUGUAUAUCAAGUAGGUGUGAGGAAUCGGUCUACAUUCAGGAGUGAUACUGAGGAUAGUAAAAAAUGUCUAGUAUGUUGAUAUGUACUCAAACAAGAAAAGCAUGGAGUGAAAAAAAUCAGAGAUAAUGAAUUAUUAUAAUAAAAUGAUACUGGCAGCUUUGAAAUGGAAAAAUCCAAUUGAAAGGCAAGAAAAACAAGAAAAACUGAUUUAUCGAACAGUUCUCACUGUUAGUAAAUGAGGAAACCCCUUAAUGAAUACAAGUUUGGGAACAAUUAAAGGAUGUAUAAUCUCAACUCAUCAUAUUGAGGUUUCUAUGCAAAUGGCUAAUCCAAUUUUGAUACAUUUUGAAAUAUAGGCCCCUGUCUCUUCCUCAUGAUUAUGCAUCAUCCAUGGCAAAUUAUUACUUCAUAUUUCCAGUCAGCUAAUUUGAUAUUCACUAUCCUAAUUUUGGUAAACAUUGUUUAGUUUGAUCUAUUAUAGUAAUCUGAAGACUAGGGUCUUGUACCAGUCAAUUCCAAUGCUUGUCUGUGUUUUCUCAGUGUUAUCAUUUUGGGGAUAAUACAGUUUUACCCAUUAUCAGUGAUUCUAUCAAACUGAAUGCCUAACACAGGAUAACUUAUUUAGAAGUAAAGUAUGCUUGUUCUAGCCCCUGAGUGUUAGUAAUCUAGGGUCAACUCAUUGAUCUUUCAGUUCCAAGAGGACACACUAUACUCCAGAGUGAGGUCAUUGUAUCUUUAGAUGGGAGACCAGGUCAGGAAGACCCACUGCCAUCAUCUUUUUGUAGCAGCAUGUGUCCGCUGAUUCUGCCCCUGUUAUCUAAAUACCUCCUCUAUACUCUGUACCUUGACAGCUGCCUAUAGGAGAACAGGAGUCCAAGACCUACGGGUGAGGCAUCCAUUGAAAUUUAAACCCUAGUGUAUGGACAGGCAGCAGUUGUUUACUCUUUCCCUUAAUGGGCAUAUAGGUUGUUCUCAUUUUUUACUGUGAGGAAUAAAUCCUGCUACAUUUAUGUACAAAUCUAUGUGUGCACAUAUGUUUUCAUAACUCCUGGAAGAAUACCAAGGAAUAGAAAUGUUGAGUCAUAUGCUAAGUGUGUCUUUAAUUUCGUGAGGUACUGCCUAUCUGUUUUGACAACUUGUUAGACUGUUUGCUGCUCCCCUUGGCAGAGUAGGAGUGUUCUGGAUCUAAGCAUCCUUGCUAGAGAAUCACAGUGACGUGUGUUAACUUUAAUCCAAGUUAGUUAAGGUUUUGUAGUAUCUGUUGUUAUUUUCACUAUUUGUUUUUAUUUGAUAAGUAUAGAAUGUUCGUAUCAUUUAUACUUUUUGUAGCCUUUUAUGAACUGUUCAGUUUUUCUCAUUUCAAAUUAUCUGUUGGCUUGCUUUAAAAAAUAUGUGUUUGAAAGAGUAGUUAUUUUAGAUUUUGAUAAAAUGUAAUGCGUUAUUUUUGAAGAUUUAUUUCUUUUUUAUUAUAUAUAUGUAUAUAUAAGUGUUAAAUAUAUAUACAUAUAUAUAUAUGGAUAGAUAGAUAGAUAGAUAGAUAGACAGACAGAUAGAUAUAAGAAUUUUUUGAUUGCAUAUAUGUAUAUCCAUCACAUGUCUGCAUAGGACAGAAAUGGUGGUGGGUUGCAUGGAACUAAAUUUAAGGAUUAUUGUUAGCUGUUAAGUGGGUUCUGGGAACCAAAUCCAGGUCAUCUGCAAUAGCAGCAAGUACUAAAAAUGGCUGAGGCAUCAUCACUCAUGCCCCAUAUGGAACAUAUUGUCAUUAUUUUUCUCUGAUGCUUCCUAUCUAUAAUUUAACCUUGUUUCCUAUCUAUAAGAUCUUUACUUAUGCCAAGAUCAUGAUAGUCUCACUGUGAUGAAAUUUUCUAGAAAAUUCAUUUUUUAAAGGUUUGACUUAAUUUUUUGUACAUAGUAAAAGAGAUAAUUAUAAAAAUUUAAGGUAUUAACAGUAGAACAAUAAAUACACAUUAUAACUGUGACAAAUAAUUUAUAUAAAUAUUUACUUUAUAAAAUUUUGUCAUUUAUAAUUGACUAAAUUUUAUAAAAUAAUUUUCCAAAAUAUGUUAGUAAUAUAAAUGUUCUUUUGAAUAUUUUGUUUAAUUUUAGUUUUGCUUUUUAAAAAUUCAAUGUUUGUGGAUUAUAUUUAUAUCACCCCACUUUUUCCAGCCCCUCUUUCUUGUGUCUACCUCCAUUCCCUCUCAAGUUAAUGGCCUCAAUUUCAUUAAUUUUGUUUCAUAUUAUAUAUAUAUAUAUAUAUAUGGUGUGUGUGUGUGUUUGAGUGUGUAUUAAAUAACUUGCCAAAUUUGUUAGAUAUGUAAAAAUUUCUGUCUAAAUCUUUAAGCACUGCAUUGG